CAAGUCGAGGGGCAGCGCAGUGUAGCAAUACAUGGGCGGCGACCGGCAAACGGGUGCGGAACACGUACGCAACUUUCCUCUAAGCGGGGCAUAGCUCGGAGAAAUCCGGAUUAAUACCCCAUAACAUUGUAGAUAGGCAUCUAUCAGCAAUUAAAGAUUUAUCACUUAGAGAUGGGCGUGCGGCUGAUUAGGUAGUUGGCGGGGUAACGGCCCACCAAGCCUGCGAUCAGUAACUGGUGUGAGAGCACGACCAGUCACACGGGCACUGAGACACGGGCCCGACUCCUACGGGAGGCAGCAGUAAGGAAUAUUGGUCAAUGGACGAAAGUCUGAACCAGCCAUGCCGCGUGGAGGAUGAAGGUCCUCUGGAUUGUAAACUUCUUUUAUCUGGGACGAAAAAGGGUCUUUCUAGAUCAACUGACGGUACCAGAUGAAUAAGCACCGGCUAACUCCGUGCCAGCAGCCGCGGUAAUACGGAGGGUGCAAGCGUUAUCCGGAUUCACUGGGUUUAAAGGGUGCGUAGGUGGGCAGGUAAGUCAGUGGUGAAAUCUCUGGGCUUAACCCGGAAACUGCCAUUGAUACUAUUUGUCUUGAAUACCGUGGAGGUCAGCGGAAUAUGUCAUGUAGCGGUGAAAUGCUUAGAUAUGACAUAGAACACCAAUUGCGAAGGCAGCUGGCUACACGAAUAUUGACACUGAUGCACGAAAGCGUGGGGAUCAAACAGGAUUAGAUACCCUGGUAGUCCACGCCCUAAACGAUGGAUACUCGACAUACGCGAUAUACUGUGUGUGUCUGAGCGAAAGCAUUAAGUAUCCCACCUGGGGAAGUACGAUCGCAAGAUUGAAACUCAAAGGAAUUUGGCGGGGGGUCCGCACAAGCGGUGGA
Molecule: ribosomal RNA, 885 nt
Filed under: uncultured Flavobacteriales bacterium
Lineage: Bacteria; Pseudomonadati; Bacteroidota; Flavobacteriia; Flavobacteriales
Description: bacterial SSU rRNA
Rfam family: Bacterial small subunit ribosomal RNA
Source: RNAcentral